AUUGAACGCUGGCGGCAUGCUUUACACAUGCAAGUCGAACGGUAACAGGCCUUCGGGUGCUGACGAGUGGCGAACGGGUGAGUAAUGCAUCGGAACGUACCCAGAGGUGGGGGAUAACGCAGCGAAAGCUGUGCUAAUACCGCAUGUGAUCUGAGGAUGAAAGCGGGGGACCGAGCAGCAAUGUUUGGCCUCGCGCCUUUGGAGCGGCCGAUGUCGGAUUAGCUAGUUGGUGGGGUAUAGGCCUACCAAGGCGACGAUCCGUAGCUGGUCUGAGAGGACGACCAGCCACACUGGGACUGAGACACGGCCCAGACUCCUACGGGAGGCAGCAGUGGGGAAUUUUGGACAAUGGGCGCAAGCCUGAUCCAGCAAUGCCGCGUGCGGGAAGAAGGCCUUCGGGUUGUAAACCGCUUUUGGCAGGAACGAAACGGUGUCCGCUAAUACCGGGCGCUAAUGACGGUACCUGCAGAAUAAGCACCGGCUAACUACGUG
RNAcentral lists this ribosomal RNA (492 nucleotides) under uncultured bacterium. RNAcentral describes it as "partial 16S ribosomal RNA". It matches the Rfam family "Bacterial small subunit ribosomal RNA", at positions 30 to 507 of the family's 1533-position model. The record is from RNAcentral.